This 431-nucleotide ribosomal RNA is filed under the name uncultured bacterium. RNAcentral's name for it is "bacterial SSU rRNA". It matches the Rfam family "Bacterial small subunit ribosomal RNA", at positions 917 to 1345 of the family's 1533-position model. The record is from RNAcentral.
GGACCCGCACAAGUAGUGGAGCAUGUGGUUUAAUUCGAAGAUACGCGCAGAACCUUACCAACACUUGACAUGUUCGUCGCGACUCUAAGAGAUUAGAGUUUUCGGUUCGGCCGGACGAAACACAGGUGCUGCAUGGCUGUCGUCAGCUCGUGUCGUGAGAUGUUGGGUUAAGUCCCGCAACGAGCGCAACCCUCACUUUUAGUUGCCAUCAUUUAGUUGGGCACUCUGAAAGAACUGCCAGUGAUAAGCUGGAGGAAGGUGGGGAUGACGUCAAGUCCUCAUGGCCCUUACGUGUUGGGCUACACACGUGCUACAAUGGCAAGUACAACGAGUCGCAAUACCGCGAGGUGGAGCAAAUCUCUCAAAGCUUGUCUCAGUUCGGAUAGGAGUCUGCAACUCGACUCCUUGAAGUUGGAGUCGCUAGUAAUCGC